RNAcentral lists this ribosomal RNA (221 nucleotides) under uncultured bacterium. RNAcentral's name for it is "partial 16S ribosomal RNA". It matches the Rfam family "Bacterial small subunit ribosomal RNA", at positions 110 to 334 of the family's 1533-position model. The record is from RNAcentral.
UAAGUGUAUGGGGAUCUGCCCGAUAGAGGGGGAUAACUACUGGAAACGGUGGCUAAUACCGCAUAAUGUCUACGGACCAAAGCAGGGGCUCUUCGGACCUUGCACUAUCGGAUGAACCCAUAUGGGAUUAGCUAGUAGGUGGGGUAAAGGCUCACCUAGGCGACGAUCUCUAGCUGGUCUGAGAGGAUGAUCAGCCACACUGGGACUGAGACACGGCCCAG